RNAcentral lists this transfer RNA (76 nucleotides) under Steroidobacter denitrificans. RNAcentral describes it as "tRNA-Met". It matches the Rfam family "tRNA". From Rfam's summary of the family: Transfer RNA (tRNA) molecules are approximately 80 nucleotides in length. Their secondary structure includes four short double-helical elements and three loops (D, anti-codon, and T loops). The record is from RNAcentral. Lineage: Bacteria; Pseudomonadati; Pseudomonadota; Gammaproteobacteria; Steroidobacterales; Steroidobacteraceae. RNAcentral also lists the same sequence under 3 other names.
GGGCCUGUAGCACAACGGUUAGUGCAGGGGACUCAUAAUCCCUUGGUUGCAGGUUCGAAUCCUGCCGGGCCCACCA